RNAcentral lists this ribosomal RNA (253 nucleotides) under uncultured bacterium. RNAcentral's name for it is "partial 16S ribosomal RNA". It matches the Rfam family "Bacterial small subunit ribosomal RNA", at positions 524 to 776 of the family's 1533-position model. The record is from RNAcentral.
UACGGAGGGGGCGAGCGUUAUUCGGAAUUAUUGGGCGUAAAGGGCGCGUAGGCGGCUUGAUAAGUCAAAGGUGAAAUCCCUCGGCUCAACUGAGGAACUGCCUUUGAAACUGUCAGGCUUGAGGCCGGGAGGGGGUAGCGGAAUUCCCAGUGUAGCGGUGAAAUGCGUAGAUACUGGGAGGAACACCGGUGGCGAAGGCGGCUACCUGGACCGGUUCUGACGCUGAGGCGCGAAAGCGUGGGUAGCAAACAGG